Molecule: long non-coding RNA, 324 nt
Filed under: Nicotiana benthamiana
Lineage: Eukaryota; Viridiplantae; Streptophyta; Magnoliopsida; Solanales; Solanaceae
Description: long non-coding RNA (NBEN_LNC004631)
Source: RNAcentral
UCCUCCACUGUAACACCACCCCUUGACCACCCCUUGACCGCCAUUGACCACCCGUCUACCACCUUAACGCCGUCGCCGGAAAUCGCCUCACGGUGGCGGCCGGUGACCAAACCUCUCCAGAUUUACACCAUCAAACCAUCACAACCUCCUCUAUCCCGUCCUGUGACUAAUUUCUGUCAAAUAAGUCUCCUCCGUCUCGAAUAUUUGAAAUUAAGGUCAUCGGAACCACCGUCUCCGGCGACCUUGCUCCAAACAUCCCCAGCUAUACACCAUAGGACCACCAGGACCUCCCCUUCCAAGUCCUGCAGUCCACUCCCUUCAAAU